AGAGUUUGAUCCUGGYUCAGGAUGAACGCUGGCGGCGUGCCUAAUACAUGCAAGUCGAGCGAACAGAUAAGGAGCUUGCUCCYUUUGACGUUAGCGGCGGACGGGUGAGUAACACGUGGGCAACCUACCUAUAAGACUGGAAUAACUCCGGGAAACCGGGGCUAAUGCCGGAUAACAUGUUGAACCGCAUGGUUCUACAGUGAAAGGCGGCUUUGCUGUCACUUAUAGAUGGACCCGCGCCGUAUUAGCUAGUUGGUGAGGUAACGGCUCACCAAGGCAACGAUACGUAGCCGACCUGAGAGGGUGAUCGGCCACACUGGAACUGAGACACGGUCCAGACUCCUACGGGAGGCAGCAGUAGGGAAUCUUCCGCAAUGGGCGAAAGCCUGACGGAGCAACGCCGCGUGAGUGAUGAAGGUCUUCGGAUCGUAAAACUCUGUUAUUAGGGAAGAACAAAUGCGUAAGUAACUGUGCGCGUCUUGACGGUACCUAAUCAGAAAGCCACGGCUAACUACGUGCCAGCAGCCGCGGUAAUACGUAGGUGGCAAGCGUUAUCCGGAAUUAUUGGGCGUAAAGCGCGCGUAGGCGGUUUUUUAAGUCUGAUGUGAAAGCCCACGGCUCAACCGUGGAGGGUCAUUGGAAACUGAAAAACUUGAGUGCAGAAGAGGAAAGUGGAAUUCCAUGUGUAGCGGUGAAAUGCGCAGAGAUAUGGAGGAACACCAGUGGCGAAGGCGACUUUCUGGUCUGUAACUGACGCURAUGUGCGAAAGCGUGGGGAUCAAACAGGAUUAGAUACCCUGGUAGUC
RNAcentral lists this ribosomal RNA (806 nucleotides) under uncultured Staphylococcus sp. RNAcentral describes it as "bacterial SSU rRNA". It matches the Rfam family "Bacterial small subunit ribosomal RNA", at positions 8 to 795 of the family's 1533-position model. Lineage: Bacteria; Bacillati; Bacillota; Bacilli; Caryophanales; Staphylococcaceae. The record is from RNAcentral.